GACGAACGCUGGCGGCGUGCUUAACACAUGCAAGUCGUACGGGGACAUGUCGUUUCGGCGGGGUGUUUUAGUGGCGAACGGGUGAGUAACACGUGAGUGACCUGCCCUUCACUUUGGGAUAACGUGCGGAAACGUGCGCUAAUACCAAAUAUUCGCAUUUCUGCUGCAUGGUGGGGUGUGGAAAGGGGCCUUCGGGUUCUGGUGGGGGAGUGGGCGUCGCGGCCUAUCAGCUGUGUUGGUGGGGGAUGGCCUACCAAGGCGUGGACGGGUAGCCGGCCUGAGAGGGUGUUCGGUCACACUGGGACUGAGAUACGG
Molecule: ribosomal RNA, 315 nt
Filed under: uncultured bacterium
Lineage: Bacteria
Description: bacterial SSU rRNA
Rfam family: Bacterial small subunit ribosomal RNA
Source: RNAcentral